RNAcentral lists this long non-coding RNA (220 nucleotides) under Lathyrus oleraceus (garden pea). RNAcentral's name for it is "Pisum sativum (pea) long non-coding RNA (PSAT_LNC016086)". The record is from RNAcentral. Lineage: Eukaryota; Viridiplantae; Streptophyta; Magnoliopsida; Fabales; Fabaceae.
AGACAUUUACCGAUGACUGGGAAGAACUCGACGUUUACCGACAUCGAAAGAUGAUGUUCAGAAAUGAAACAAGACCAGACAUUUACCGAUGACUGGGAAAGAAACUCGACGUUUACCGACAUCGAAAGAUGAUGUUUACCGACACCAAAAAAGGACGACCAGACAUUUACCGAUGACUGGGAAGGAACUUGAUGUUUACUGACACCAAAAAAGGAACGGC